This 405-nucleotide ribosomal RNA is filed under the name uncultured bacterium. RNAcentral describes it as "bacterial SSU rRNA". It matches the Rfam family "Bacterial small subunit ribosomal RNA", at positions 509 to 916 of the family's 1533-position model. The record is from RNAcentral.
CAGCCGCCGCGGUAAUUCGUAGGUGGCAAGCGUUGUCCGGAUUUAUUGGGUUUAAAGGGUGCGUAGGCGGUUUUAUAAGUCAGUGGUGAAAUACAAUAGCUUAACUAUUGAGGUGCCAUUGAUACUGUAAGACUUGAGUACAGACGAGGUAGGCGGAAUUGACGGUGUAGCGGUGAAAUGCUUAGAUAUCGUCAAGAACACCGAUAGCGAAGGCAGCUUACUAGACUGUAACUGACGCUGAGGCACGAAAGUGUGGGGAUCAAACAGGAUUAGAUACCCUGGUAGUCCACACUGUAAACGAUGAUUACUCGAUGUUGGCGAUACACAGCCAGCGUCUUAGCGAAAGCGAUAAGUAAUCCACCUGGGGAGUACGCCCGCAAGGGUGAAACUUAAAGGAAUUGACGG